CCCGCUGCGCCCCGACCCGGCGCCGCCCGGUCCUGGCGGCCGCACCGCGUCCGCGGCGAAGGACUGGGACUUCUCAUCAUCUGACAUCUUUUCUGGGCUGACUAUUGACCCUGAUUCUCUGGUGAAGAAACUUGACUUGGACACCAGAAGCAUUGUUUCAUCCAAGACAGGUGCUGUUCUUACAUUAAGAGAGUUAGAUAACCUUGUAAGGGUAAUUUUGCUCUCUGACUAAUAAACAGACCUUUAUAGAGCUGAAUGGUGUUUGAGAGGAACUCUGACACUGACGGAUAGUAUGGGAAGCCUCUCCAGAUGAUUUUAAUCUGCAGCACCCUCCAUCAGAAGUCUGUAGAUUGCAACAAAUCACCUUGAUGCCAGAGGACUCUUCUGCUGUUGCUUAGGUUUAAAGGAUGAAAACCAAUGAGGGCCCUACUUCAAGAAUCAAGCUGUCCAAGUCCUGAACUGCGUGGGACUGCUUGACAUUGAAAACGGUGACCCAUUGCAGAAUGCCUGGAGCUGCCAAGAUGUUUGCAGUCUGGGAGAGGAGGACGUCAGUAGCAGGAAGAGCCUGAAACAAAUCUUCGGAGUUUGCACAACAUGUCAGAUCAUUCUGAGUGCAUUUUCUGCUUGAUUCCUGUGACUGUGUGACAUUCACCACCUAUGAAGGUGGGAGUGUGUGCAUACGUGGAUGUAAGGGAGGCGAGCCCGGCUGC
This is a long non-coding RNA of Lagopus leucura (white-tailed ptarmigan), 710 nucleotides long. RefSeq lists it as uncharacterized. The record is from RefSeq and is a predicted model, not a curated record. Lineage: Eukaryota; Metazoa; Chordata; Aves; Galliformes; Phasianidae. The transcript has 4 exons.